Molecule: small nuclear RNA, 107 nt
Filed under: Rhinopithecus roxellana (golden snub-nosed monkey)
Lineage: Eukaryota; Metazoa; Chordata; Mammalia; Primates; Cercopithecidae
Source: RNAcentral
GUGCUCGCUUUGGCAGCACAUAUACUAAAAUUGGAACGAUACAGAGAAGAUUAGCAGGGCCCCUGCACAAGUAUGACAUGCAAAUUCAUGAGGUGUUCCAUAUUUUU